GGGCUGGCUUUGCUAGCCCAUGCCCUGUCAUGAAAACAGCACAGAGAAUAUUGGCACAGCCCCUGUGUAGGGGUGACACACAGAUGAGUCGAGUAUUUUAUAUUA
This is a small nuclear RNA of Sorex araneus (European shrew), 105 nucleotides long. NCBI's taxonomy places the organism in Eukaryota, Metazoa, Chordata, Mammalia, Eulipotyphla, Soricidae. The record is from Ensembl.